AUUGAACGCUGGCGGCAUGCCUUACACAUGCAAGUCGAACGGCAGCACGGGAGCAAUCCUGGUGGCGAGUGGCGAACGGGUGAGUAAAGUAUCGGAACGUGCCCAGUCGUGGGGGGUAACGUAGCGAAAGUUACGCUAAUACCGCAUACGAUCUAUGGAUGAAAGCGGGGGAUCGCAAGACCUCGCGCGAUUGGAGCGGCCGAUAUCAGAUUAGGUAGUUGGUGGGGUAAAGGCCCACCAAGCCGACGAUCUGUAGCUGGUCUGAGAGGACGACCAGCCACACUGGGAAUGAGACACGGCCCAGACUCCUACGGGAGGCAGCAGUGGGGAAUUUUGGACAAUGGGCGAAAGCCUGAUCCAGCCAUGCCGCGUGCAGGAUGAAGGCCUUCGGGUUGUAAACUGCUUUUGUACGGAACGAAAAGGACUGCCCUAAUACGGUGGUCCCAUGACGGUACCGUAAGAAUAAGCACCGGCUAACUACGUGCCAGCCGCCGCGGUAA
RNAcentral lists this ribosomal RNA (500 nucleotides) under uncultured bacterium. RNAcentral describes it as "partial 16S ribosomal RNA". It matches the Rfam family "Bacterial small subunit ribosomal RNA", at positions 29 to 523 of the family's 1533-position model. The record is from RNAcentral.